GCAGCGGUAGUUCAGUGGGAGAAUGCAGGGCUGUGGACCCUGAGACGCGAGUCCGAUUCUCGCCUGCUGCC
RNAcentral lists this transfer RNA (71 nucleotides) under Nanobdellota archaeon. RNAcentral describes it as "tRNA-His". It matches the Rfam family "tRNA". Rfam says of the family: Transfer RNA (tRNA) molecules are approximately 80 nucleotides in length. The record is from RNAcentral. Lineage: Archaea; Nanobdellati; Nanobdellota.